Molecule: ribosomal RNA, 506 nt
Filed under: uncultured bacterium
Lineage: Bacteria
Description: partial 16S ribosomal RNA
Rfam family: Bacterial small subunit ribosomal RNA
Source: RNAcentral
AGUGAACGCUGGCGGUAGGCCUAACACAUGCAAGUCGAACGGCAGCACAGGAGAGCUUGCUCUCUGGGUGGCGAGUGGCGGACGGGUGAGGAAUACAUCGGAAUCUACUCUGUCGUGGGGGAUACCGUAGGGAAACUUCCGCUAAUACCGCAUCCGAGCUCAGGGACAAAUCAGGGGACCUUCGCGCCUUCCGGGGAUACCUGGGCCGAUGUCGGAUUAGCUAGUUGGCGGGGUAAAGGCCCACCAAGGCGACGAUCCGUAGCUGGUCUGAGAGGAUGAUCAGCCACACUGGAACGGAGACACGGUCCAGACUCCUACGGGAGGCAGCAGUGGUGAAUAUUGGACAAUGGGCGCAAGCCUGAUCCAGCCAUACCGCGUGGGUGAAGAAGGCCUUCGGGUUGUAAAGCCCUUUUGUUGGGAAAGAAAUCUAGCGGGCUAAUACCCGGUUGGGAUGACGGUACCCAAAGAAUAAGCACCGGCUAACUUCGUGCCAGCCGCCGCCGUAA